Molecule: unclassified non-coding RNA, 193 nt
Filed under: uncultured Glomeraceae
Lineage: Eukaryota; Fungi; Glomeromycota; Glomeromycetes; Glomerales; Glomeraceae
Description: sequence contains ITS2
Source: RNAcentral
UUAAAUAAAAAUCGGUGUUGUUGCUGCCUUUCGUGGUGACGCGUCGGAAUUGAGUCGUCUUGUCUUCGGUUAAGUGGCUUAAAAAUUUUAUAUGAUUUUCGAACGUAUUUAAAUUGCUUACGGUACGUUUGAGAUAUCGAAUAUUUUAUUAGGUUCGGUCAUCCUUAUGACUCGCGCCUAUAAUUUUUUCAUU